Molecule: ribosomal RNA, 406 nt
Filed under: uncultured bacterium
Lineage: Bacteria
Description: partial 16S ribosomal RNA
Rfam family: Bacterial small subunit ribosomal RNA
Source: RNAcentral
AUUGAACGCUGGCGGCAGGCCUAACACAUGCAAGUCGAACGAGUGGCGGACGGGUGAGUAAUGUCUGGGGACCUGCCUGAUGGAGGGGGAUAACUACUGGAAACGGUGGCUACUACCGCAUACCAUCGGAUGUGCCCAUAGGGGAUUAGCUAGUAGGUGGGGUAAAGGCUCACCGAGGCGACGAUCCCUAGCUGGUCUGAGAGGAGGAUCAGCCACACUGGGACUGAGACACGGCCCAGACUCCUACGGGAGGCAGCAGUGGGGAAUAUUGCACAAUGGGCGCAAGCCUGAUGCAGCCAUGCCGCGUGUAUGAAGAAGGCCUUCGGGUUGUAAAGUACUUUCAGCGGGGAGGCGUUACCCGCAGAAGAAGCACCGGCUAACUCCGUGCCAGCAGCCGCGGUAAUUC